RNAcentral lists this ribosomal RNA (253 nucleotides) under uncultured bacterium. Its description in RNAcentral is "partial 16S ribosomal RNA". It matches the Rfam family "Bacterial small subunit ribosomal RNA", at positions 524 to 776 of the family's 1533-position model. The record is from RNAcentral.
GACAGAGGUGCCGAGCGUUAGGCGGAAUCACUGGGCUUAAAGCGUGUGUAGGCGGAUUCCUAAGUACCUUGUGAAAUCCCAUGGCUCAACCAUGGAACUGCUUGGUAUACUGGGUGUCUUGAGCCAGCUAGGGGCUACUGGAACAAGCGGUGGAGCGGUGAAAUGCGUAGAUAUCGCUUGGAACGCCAACGGUGAAAACAGGUUGCUGGGGGUGUGCUGACGCUGAGACACGAAAGCCAGGGGAGCGAACGGG